ACGGACCAAGGAGUCUAGAAUGCGCGCGAGUCAAAGGGUUGGGCUAAACCCCAAGGCGAAACGAAAGUGAUUAUACAAAAAUGUACGGGGCCGAUCCGGUUUGCGUGGGAGCGAACGGGAACAACAAAGGGUGGAAAGAGGUUUAACGGGGGGUGCUAUUCUUCGCGCGGUCGUUCUUAGUAGUAGUAGUAGUCGUCGGGAUGCGUGCGUCGGUCGGUGGUGGCUUUUCGCUUCCGCCGGCUUGCCUCCUUCCCCCCAGCUGCUGCUGCCCUACGCGGUUCGUGCGGAGGAGCGCGCUCUCUUCUUCUUUUCACUCGUUCCCAACUCUUUCUCCCCGCGAUUCGCCUCUUCGAUUCGAAAAAGUGUGAGGACGGCGCAGGCCCGGGGCUCGCCAACGCUUCCUCCCCGCCGUUAAGGUUAGGUACUUCGUUUUUCUCGUUCGAC
This 444-nucleotide ribosomal RNA is filed under the name Pseudolaureola hystrix. Its description in RNAcentral is "partial large subunit ribosomal RNA". Lineage: Eukaryota; Metazoa; Arthropoda; Malacostraca; Isopoda; Armadillidae. The record is from RNAcentral.